Molecule: ribosomal RNA, 407 nt
Filed under: Staphylococcus epidermidis
Lineage: Bacteria; Bacillati; Bacillota; Bacilli; Caryophanales; Staphylococcaceae
Description: partial 23S ribosomal RNA
Rfam family: Bacterial large subunit ribosomal RNA
Source: RNAcentral
AUAGAUUAAGUUAUUAAGGGCGCACGGUGGAUGCCUUGGCACUAGAAGCCGAUGAAGGACGUUACUAACGACGAUAUGCUUUGGGUAGCUGUAAGUAAGCGUUAAUCCAGAGAUUUCCGAAUGGGGGAACCCAGCAUGAGUUAUGUCAUGUUAUCGACAUGUGAAUUCAUAGCAUGUCAGAAGGCAGACCCGGAGAACUGAAACAUCUUAGUACCCGGAGGAAGAGAAAGAAAAAUCGAUUCCCUGAGUAGCGGCGAGCGAAACGGGAAGAGCCCAAACCAACAAGCUUGCUUGUUGGGGUUGUAGGACACUCUAUACGGAGUUACAAAAGAACAUGUUAGACGAAUCAUCUGGAAAGAUGAAUCAAAGAAGGUAAUAAUCCUGUAGUCGAAAACAUAUUCUCUCUU